RNAcentral lists this ribosomal RNA (448 nucleotides) under uncultured bacterium. RNAcentral's name for it is "bacterial SSU rRNA". It matches the Rfam family "Bacterial small subunit ribosomal RNA", at positions 8 to 460 of the family's 1533-position model. The record is from RNAcentral.
AGAGUUUGAUCCUGGCUCAGAUUGAACGCUGGCGGCAUGCCUUACACAUGCAAGUCGAACGGCAGCGCGGGGCAACCUGGCGGCGAGUGGCGAACGGGUGAGUAAUAUAUCGGAACGUACCCUGGAGUGGGGGAUAACGUAGCGAAAGUUACGCUAAUACCGCAUACGAUCUAAGGAUGAAAGUGGGGGAUCGCAAGACCUCAUGCUCCUGGAGCGGCCGAUAUCUGAUUAGCUAGUUGGCGGGGUAAAAGCCCACCAAGGCAACGAUCAGUAGCUGGUCUGAGAGGACAACCAGCCACACUGGAACUGAGACACGGUCCAGACUCCUACGGGAGGCAGCAGUGGGGAAUUUUGGACAAUGGGCGCAAGCCUGAUCCAGCAAUGCCGCGUGAGUGAAGAAGGCCUUCGGGUUGUAAAGCUCUUUUGUCAGGGAAGAAACGGUGGGGGC